GGUUAGUAACGCGUGGGAAUAUACCCGGUACUAAGGAAUAGCCUUUGGAAACGAAGAGUAAUACCUUAUACGCCUUUCGGGGGAAAGAUUUAUCGGUGAAGGAUUAGCCCGCGUAAGAUUAGAUAGUUGGUGGGGUAAUGGCCUACCAAGUCUACGAUCUUUAGCUGGUUUUAGAGGAUGAUCAGCAACACUGGGACUGAGACACGGCCCAGACUCCUACGGGAGGCAGCAGUGGGGAAUCUUAGACAAUGGGCGCAAGCCUGAUCUAGCCAUGCCGCGUGAGUGAAGAAGGCCUUAGGGUCGUAAAGCACUUUCGCCAGAGAUGAUAAUGACAGUAUCUGGUAAAGAAACCCCGGCUAACUCCGUGCCAGCAGCCGCGGUAAUACGGAGGGGGUUAGCGUUGUUCGGAAUUACUGGGCGUAAAGCGCACGUAGGCGGACUGGAAAGUUGGGGGUGAAAUCCCGGGGCUCAACCUCGGAACUGCCUCCAAAACUAUCAGUCUAGAGUUCGAGAGAGGUGAGUGGAAUUCCAAGUGUAGAGGUGAAAUUCGUAGAUAUUUGGAGGAACACCAGUGGCGAAGGCGGCUCACUGGCUCGAUACUGACGCUGAGGUGCGAAAGUGUGGGGAGCAAACAGGAUUAGAUACCCUGGUAGUCCACACCGUAAACGAUGAAUGCCAGUCGUCGGCAAGUAUACUUGUCGGUGACACACCUAACGGAUUAAGCAUUCCGCCUGGGGAGUACGGUCGCAAGAUUAAAACUCAAAGGAAUUGACGGGGGCCCGCACAAGCGGUGGAGCAUGUGGUUUAAUUCG
Molecule: ribosomal RNA, 812 nt
Filed under: uncultured marine bacterium
Lineage: Bacteria
Description: bacterial SSU rRNA
Rfam family: Bacterial small subunit ribosomal RNA
Source: RNAcentral